Long non-coding RNA from Spinacia oleracea (spinach), 1534 nucleotides. RefSeq lists it as uncharacterized. NCBI's taxonomy places the organism in Eukaryota, Viridiplantae, Streptophyta, Magnoliopsida, Caryophyllales, Amaranthaceae. The transcript has 6 exons. The record is from RefSeq and is a predicted model, not a curated record.
UAAUAGCGCUUAUCAAAAAGCGCUAUUAUUUAUAUAAAAUAACAGCACUUUAUUUUAUAGUGCUAUCAAAAGAAGCAAAUUUAAUUUCCAACUUAAUAUAAUACAACAUUUUUCUUUAAACGUUGUGAUUAUUGAUUAAUAGCUAUAAUAAUUUAUAAAAACAAAAACAAAAAGCCAAAACAAAAUUAAAUAACUCAAACCCUCAUUCAGCACCGCCUACAUUUAUUUCCCACGUUCUCCAGCUUCCUUUUUUCUCCCACCACGACUUCCACAAUUAACGAAACCCUGCUGCGUGUGGUUGAAUUACCAAUCCAAGUCAAGCCUUUGAAUAAAUCUUAAUCGUCUUGAAUUCUUCCAAAGAGAUUUGCUCAAAUGGGUUCAAGAUUCCAGUAAAAUUUAUCAGAUUAGAUGGCAACCAUUACCACAAACUUUAUUUCAGUCUCUUCCUCGUCCUAAUCACUGCAGUCGAGUCUCGCUUUGGUUAAGUCCCAACAUUGUUCUUUCUUAAGGAAGAAUCUGACUUUGAACAUAUCUUGUUAAGGACGUCCUGGUUUCCGAGUUGUGGCUGUUUCAAUGGCCCCUCAGACUCAGGAGAUAACUUCUUUCCUGCUCCAGAAGGAGAGUGGAUUUCUUCAUUUUGUCAAGUGUCAUGGACUCGGCAACGACUUUCUUUUGGUUGAUAAUAGAGACUCAAUGGAGCCUAAGGUAACCCCUGAGCACAAGUAGUGAAGUUGUGUGACCGGAAUUUUGGAGUGGGUGCUCAUGGGCUGAUUUUUACAACGCCCGAAACUAAUGGCACUGAUUAUACUAUGAGGAUUUUUAAUUGUGAUGGAAGUGAGCCAAAGGUGUGUACUAUCUAAGAAAAUUAUACUUCUUAUACCAGAUUAUGAGAAUGAAAUAUGUGUGGCAAUGGAGUGAGAUGCUUUUCACAUACAUUGCCGAGAUUGAGAACUUACAUAGGAAACACAGUCUUCUCGCCGUUAAAUGGCUCACUCAUGUCCUGGUAACUGGGGGUGCUUGCUUUAUUGGAUCCCAUGCAACACUAAGACUUCUCAAGCUCCUAUCGUGUGACAAUUGUGUACUUUUCAUGAUCGCAAUGUUCUGAAUUAUGAUCAAGAACAAAUUGAUGAAGUCAGAGCUCAAUUGACGCGUCAUGCUCUUCUCGUGUGUAUAUUGUGGUGGAUUACUUGUGUUUUUCGUCUGGAAAUUGUGUACAAUGUUCUAAUUUUAAUGUGUUGAUUUGAAAAUAAAAGAAGUACUAUAUGACGACUUCUUUCUUUCUUCUAGCAGUGUGUUGAUAACAUUGCAUACGAAUUUAAGUUAUGAGACAUCGAGACUAGACCUGUCAAACGGGUCGGUCGGGUCGGGUUGUAAAAAAUUACUUUCGGGUUCGGGUUGAAUCGGGUCGGUCACUUUCGGGUUCGGGUUUGCAAAUGCUUGUUCGGGACCCAUAACUUUCGGGUUCGGGUUGACCCAACGGGUUGAGAGAUUUUAAAACGCGCAUUAUAUUUUCAUUAAUUUAGGUUAUAAAUAU